RNAcentral lists this ribosomal RNA (402 nucleotides) under uncultured bacterium. RNAcentral describes it as "bacterial SSU rRNA". It matches the Rfam family "Bacterial small subunit ribosomal RNA", at positions 355 to 774 of the family's 1533-position model. The record is from RNAcentral.
UGGGGAAUAUUGCGCAAUGGGGGAAACCCUGACGCAGCAACGCCGCGUGAGUGAUGAAGGUCUUCGGAUUGUAAAACUCUGUCUUCAGGGACGAUAAUGACGGUACCUGAGGAGGAAGCCACGGCUAACUACGUGCCAGCAGCCGCGGUAAUACGUAGGUGGCAAGCGUUGUCCGGAUUUACUGGGCGUAAAGAGUAUGUAGGCGGAUAUUUAAGUCAGAUGUGAAAUUCCCGGGCUUAACCUGGGAGCUGCAUUUGAUACUGGAUAUCUAGAGUGCAGGAGAGGAAAGUGGAAUUCCUAGUGGAGCGGUGAAAUGCGUAGAGAUUAGGAAGAACACCAGUGGCGAAGGCGACUUUCUGGACUGUAACUGACGCUGAGAUACGAAAGCGUGGGGAGCAAACA